GGGGGCGUUUCAGACUCGCUCGGGGAAGCGGUGGCAAAAGUUGCGCGUCGAGAUUCCACCUGGUCUCGUUAAACGGUGGACCUUUUUAAUUGCCAACGAAAAUUACGCUUUAGCUGCUUAAUUGCCGCUAACAUCCUGCCUCACGGCCUGCGGUGAGGGGCCAGGGUGUCAAAUAGCAGGACUGCUCUAAUGUCAAUGCUCGGAGACAUUAGCUAAGAUUAUCGAGCAAAACCUCUACUGAAUCCCGCCUUCAGGAGUCAAAGAGGUUAAAUAAAUUGGAGGCUACACGCGUAGACGCUUUUGUGGCAGCUCUUCGAUACAGGGGUGCAAGUCCCCUCGCCUCCACCA
RNAcentral lists this transfer-messenger RNA (348 nucleotides) under Peptococcaceae bacterium CEB3. RNAcentral's name for it is "Desulfitobacterium sp. enrichment culture clone CEB3 transfer-messenger RNA". It matches the Rfam family "transfer-messenger RNA". Rfam says of the family: Bacterial tmRNA, also known as 10Sa RNA or SsrA, is named for its dual tRNA and mRNA-like properties. Its role is to liberate the mRNA from a stalled ribosome. The record is from Rfam by way of RNAcentral. RNAcentral also lists the same sequence under 1 other name. Lineage: Bacteria; Bacillati; Bacillota; Clostridia; Eubacteriales; Peptococcaceae.